This 522-nucleotide ribosomal RNA is filed under the name Glossina austeni. RNAcentral's name for it is "partial 16S ribosomal RNA". The stretch from base 392 to 522 matches the Rfam family "Bacterial large subunit ribosomal RNA", at positions 2473 to 2603 of the family's 2925-position model. The record is from RNAcentral. Lineage: Eukaryota; Metazoa; Arthropoda; Insecta; Diptera; Glossinidae.
ACAUGUCUUUUUGAAAAUUUAUUAAAAGUCUGACCUGCUCUAUGAAUAGUUUAAUGGCCGCAGUAUAUUGACUGUGCAAAGGUAGCAUAAUCAUUAGUUUUUUAAUUAAGAACUGGAAUGAAUGGUUGGACGAAAUAAUAACUGUCUUAUUGUGAUUUAUAAUAUAAUUUUAUUUUUUAGUAAAAAAGCUUAAAUUGUAUUAAAAGACGAGAAGACCCUAUAAAUCUUUAUUAUUAAUUAAUUAAUUAAUUUGAAGAUUUAUUUUUUCAUUAAUUUUUUAAUAAUUUUAUUGGGGUGAUAUUGAAAUUUAAUUAACUUUUAAUUAUAAUAUUACAUAAAUCUAUGGUUUAUUGAUCUUUUAUUAAUGAUUAUAAGAAUAAGUUACUUUAGGGAUAACAGCGUAAUUUUUUUGGAGAGUUCUUAUCGAUAAAAAAGAUUGCGACCUCGAUGUUGGAUUAAGAUUCUAAUUUAAAUGCAAAAGUUUAAAGUUUAAGUCUGUUCGACUUUUAAAAUCUUACAUGA